GAUGAACCUGGAAAUUUGACGAUUACUUAUGUCGGCACCAACAACAUUUCCCUAGAAUGGAACAUCCCUUGGAUGUUUAACGGUGCACUUAAUUCGUUUAUAAUAAACGCAGAAGAAGUUUCUGCAAUAGAUAUUGAUUCAUGUUGUACUAGUUAUCCGCCUAUUGAACUAUUAGUUACCGAAGAAAAGCCGACUUAUACUUAUAAGCUAGGUAACUUAAAGCCUGGUUCAACUUAUGCAAUCGGUGUGCUGUCAAAAACUUCAUGGUAUAGUCAAGUUAAAAGAAUUCACGUUACAACACUGAUUGAUUAAAAAUAUCGAGUCAUUUACCAAGUGUUCAUGAUAAUUUAAUUUAGAAUUAAUAUCUCGUUUUUAAUAGAAACGUGACUUAUCAUAUUAAUUUUUUGUACUUAUAAUAGACAAAAUAAAAGUUUAUUAUAUUUAUUUAUUAAUA
This is a long non-coding RNA of Daktulosphaira vitifoliae (grape phylloxera), 454 nucleotides long. RefSeq lists it as uncharacterized. The record is from RefSeq and is a predicted model, not a curated record. The transcript has 2 exons. Lineage: Eukaryota; Metazoa; Arthropoda; Insecta; Hemiptera; Phylloxeridae.